Molecule: RNA transcript, 1509 nt
Organism: Triticum dicoccoides
Lineage: Eukaryota; Viridiplantae; Streptophyta; Magnoliopsida; Poales; Poaceae
Gene name: organelle RRM domain-containing protein 1, chloroplastic-like
Exons: 8
Source: RefSeq, a predicted model, not a curated record
CAGCUUCCACACCUCCACGAGAUAUUUCUCUCUUUCUCGGCCCACGGCGAAGCUCGUCAUCUCCUUGCUAGCCGGUACCAGCCAUUCCCGCGAGCUCCCACCUCUGGACAUGGACGCCGUCCGCUCCCUCCUCCUAGGCGGCGGCCUCACUGUCUCCACCGCCACCGGCGCCACGGCCCAGGCCACCUCUAUCCCACACAUCUCCCCUUGUUCUCUUCCUUGGGCCACUCGCCGCCGCUUCCACCGCCUCGCCGCGGCCGCGUCACCUCACUCGCCGCUCCCCGCCUCUUCUACCCGCCCGCGUUGCUCCAGGUGGGUGGUGGUCAUGGACGACCCGCCUGAGCCGGAGGGCGGGGGCGAGGUGUCCCGCGCGGAGGCCGUCGACUACUACGUUGCCACACUGGCCAGAGUGUUGGGAAGUGAGCAGGAGGCGCAGAUGUGCAUAUAUGACGCGUCGUGGGACAGGAACUACGAAUUCUGCUGCGAGAUCGAUGAGGAAGCGUCGAAGAAGCUUGCAAAGAUGCCUGGGGUAUUAGCUGUUAGGAUGGUUAAGGGUGAUGUGCCAGAGAAGGAUAAUCUCAGCUCGAGCCUCUCACCAGUUAACCUUGGAAGCUUCAGUGAUGCUGCUUGUAACAACUCUUCUAGCGAGAAAAGUGAGUUUUGGCUUGUCCGAAUGGAGAAGCCCGGGGUUGAAGUUGUGACAAAAGCACAAAUGGUAGACCACUAUACCCAGAUCCUAGUGAAAGUAUUGGGGAAUGAAAAGGAUGCACAAGUCAGCAUAUAUCACGUUUCAUGGGAAGAGAAUUAUGGAUUCUGCUGUCAUAUUGACGAACAAUGUGCAAAGGAGCUAGCUGAUGUUCCUGGAGUCAUAUCUGUUUUACCAGAUUCAAACUUUGGAUCAGACAAAAAAGAUUACAGAGGUGAUGAUAGCUUGAAAUCCUCAGAAGCUACUCAGGUGGCUGAUGUCAAAACUAAAAGGCUCUUUGUUACAGAUGGACGAUGCCCUCUGCCUUGUUCUGAAGUACUAGUCUUUGUGUCUUUUCUUUCAAAGGGAAGUUCAAUCAAUCAGUAAAUUAUAUGUCCAAUUUUCUGUACUGUAGAAAUAUAAGUAGUGUAGAUCAGACAAUUCAACCCUAUUUGAGAUCUAGUGUUGAUAUUUAAACGUGCUAAGCGCCACUUUUCAUUCAAUAUAAAGAAAAGCUAGAUUGGAACAAGUGAGUCUUGGACAUGCGCUGAGAUCACAAACUUCUGUUGCUCCUGUUUGUAACACAAAUAACAGUUAAACAUAAUAAGUAUAUACAGUGGUAGAAAAUCAGUUAUAUUUUGAUUUUGGUGUCACUAAUUUGGUCUAGUAUGACAGGGCUUUCAUUUUAUACAUCUGAGAAAACUCUGAGGGAAGCCUUUGAGCCAUUUGGCGAGCUGGUUGAAGUCAAGAUAAUAAUGGACAGGAUAUCAAAAAGAUCAAAAGGGUAUGCCUUCAUAGAAUACACCACAGAAGAAGCUGGUGGU